Molecule: long non-coding RNA, 716 nt
Organism: Mugil cephalus (flathead mullet)
Lineage: Eukaryota; Metazoa; Chordata; Actinopteri; Mugiliformes; Mugilidae
Exons: 2
Source: RefSeq, a predicted model, not a curated record
GUUACAAUCCAGCGCAAUGACGACACUAACUUUAGGGUUAGCUUGUUGCUAAAGUAGAAGCUAACGGACGGAACUUGUGUCGAAGAAGUUUGUGAAAUAUCACAGCUUAUGGAUGUCGUCUGGUUCUGGAUCAGAGGACACAGACAUGAGAGAGACGCAUGGACGUCGUCCUGCAUCCGGAUCCAGCCCAGGGUCAAAGGUCAGGACGGACAGGAACCUGCUUUACAUCCACAGACGUUCACACUGUGUCUCCUGUGUUUACCAGCUGCUGUUUGACUUCAUUUCCCAGAGGCAAACGUGUUCAAUCACUGUUUCCUUCUUUUUCUGGGAGCUUUGACACAAGCAGCAAUGAACCGUUAAUAGGUUCAUUAGGACGUCACAGCUGAUUCAGACACUUGUUGUUCUUCAUGGUUCCUGAUAAACCAGUUCAGAGGGGGACCUUGUAGACCACAUUAGACCCUGAUCAGACCUGAGGAUGUUUCCUGGAUCGUCUCUGAUUGGCUCAAUGAAAACCACAUGACCUCCUUUUCAUCUUCCGUACUUUUAUUCAACUUUUAAUUAUUACAUUUAGUCAAAUUGACACAACAUUCAUUUAAUACGUAGAAAAUUUAUUUUCUCAAACUUCAAAAUUAAAUGUUCAGAAGCAGUCGGCAAAGAAACUCUUUAUUAUUCAGAUCCCCACAUUAACCCCCCCGUCCCGUCCGGCUGAUCCAGCA